GGACAAGCAGGCGCUUCCACAGCUCAGCUGCUGUGAACCGUGCUGCUGUAAACAUGGAUCUCUGAAGGAACAGCUGCUUUCCCAGGAUAGAGGGAGGAGGUAUGACUGGAUUCUAGAAUCAUCUUUACAAUUGCCUUCCUGAGGCAAUCAGGGCUCAAGAUCACACCACAGAGGGAGAAGCAAAUGAGAGAUCACUGGAAAACCACACUGCCCUAAGAGCCCAUUGGCUUAGCCUUUUUUUUCCAUUGGUACAGACUCCCUAGGCCUACAUUUGCUUUCAAUAAACUUCUACUAUCACAAUCUAACUUUAAUUCCUUAUUGGCAACACAAAGAACCUACCCCUAGACAAUAAAAAAAUUGUUCUUCAA
Long non-coding RNA from Octodon degus (degu), 368 nucleotides. RefSeq lists it as uncharacterized. The transcript is spliced from 3 exons. NCBI's taxonomy places the organism in Eukaryota, Metazoa, Chordata, Mammalia, Rodentia, Octodontidae. The record is from RefSeq and is a predicted model, not a curated record.